Molecule: transfer RNA, 74 nt
Filed under: Ptilocaulis walpersi
Lineage: Eukaryota; Metazoa; Porifera; Demospongiae; Axinellida; Axinellidae
Description: tRNA-His
Rfam family: tRNA
About the family: Transfer RNA (tRNA) molecules are approximately 80 nucleotides in length. Their secondary structure includes four short double-helical elements and three loops (D, anti-codon, and T loops).
Source: RNAcentral
GAUGAAUAUAGCUUAAUUGGCAAAGCUUAAGUUUGUGGUUCUUAAAUAUAAGAGUUCAAAUCUCUUUUUUCAUC